AUUGAACGCUGGCGGCAUGCCUUACACAUGCAAGUCGAACGGCAGCAUGGAAGAGCUUGCUCUUCUGAUGGCGAGUGGCGAACGGGUGAGUAAAGCAUCGGAACGUACCGUGUAGUGGGGGAUAACGUAGCGAAAGUUACGCUAAUACCGCAUACGCACUGAGGUGGAAAGCAGGGGAUCGCAAGACCUUGCGCUAUACGAGCGGCCGAUGUCAGAUUAGCUAGUUGGUAGGGUCAAGGCCUACCAAGGCGACGAUCUGUAGCGGGUGUGAGGGGAGCAGCCGGCACGGUGGGACUGAGACACGGCCCAGGCGCCGACGGGAGGCGGCAGUGGGGAAUUUGGGACAAUGGGCGGAAGCCUGAUCCAGCCAUGCCGAGUGAGUGAAGAAGGCCUUCGGGUUGUAAAGCUCUUUCGGCUGGGAAGAAAUCGCACAGGCUAAUACUCUGUGUGGAUGACGGUACCAGCACAAGAAGCACCGGCUAACUACGUGCCAGCCGCCGCAGUAA
Molecule: ribosomal RNA, 506 nt
Filed under: uncultured bacterium
Lineage: Bacteria
Description: partial 16S ribosomal RNA
Rfam family: Bacterial small subunit ribosomal RNA
Source: RNAcentral